GCCGACCCCAGGGGGAGGCUGCUCUCUCCUAGUCCUCCCAGGAGACAGGCCGAGGGCGGGGCAAAGAUUCAAAGUUACAGCUGCUUACUUUACUUGGAAGCUUCCAGAGGAUGAGGAAGAGAAGCAAUUGGGACCUGCUGCUGUGGCAUUGACGGACUGCUGAGAGGCGCAACCUCCUGCCCAGGAGAGGGAUCUUUGGUGUGAGAGUAGCUGGUGCUGCUAUCCCUGGAAACUCCAGGGCUCCGAGACUGAGGAAAUCAGAGUGGGAACAUCAUAAGAACACAAGUCUUUGGCUACAAUAAGAAUUAUCAACUUCUUUGAUUCAGCAGUCAACAAUGAUCUAGAAUUCUCAAACUUGCUUAGACUGGAAGAUGGAAUCAGCCUCAGCUACCCUUGAGACAGGGGUUUUGAAUGAAAAAG
Molecule: long non-coding RNA, 420 nt
Organism: Dromiciops gliroides (monito del monte)
Lineage: Eukaryota; Metazoa; Chordata; Mammalia; Microbiotheria; Microbiotheriidae
Exons: 3
Source: RefSeq, a predicted model, not a curated record